RNAcentral lists this ribosomal RNA (492 nucleotides) under uncultured bacterium. RNAcentral's name for it is "partial 16S ribosomal RNA". It matches the Rfam family "Bacterial small subunit ribosomal RNA", at positions 29 to 507 of the family's 1533-position model. The record is from RNAcentral.
AGUGAACGCUGGCGGUAGGCCUAACACAUGCAAGUCGAACGGCAGCACAGUAAGAGCUUGCUCUUACGGGUGGCGAGUGGCGGACGGGUGAGGAAUACAUCGGAAUCUACUUUUUCGUGGGGGAUAACGUAGGGAAACUUACGCUAAUACCGCAUACGACCUACGGGUGAAAGCAGGGGAUCUUCGGACCUUGCGCGAUUGAAUGAGCCGAUGUCGGAUUAGCUAGUUGGCGGGGUAAAGGCCCACCAAGGCGACGAUCCGUAGCUGGUCUGAGAGGAUGAUCAGCCACACUGGAACUGAGACACGGUACAGACUCCUACGGGAGGCAGCAGUGGGGAAUAUUGGACAAUGGGCGCAAGCCUGAUCCAGCCAUACCGAGUGGGUGAAGAAGGCCUUCGGGUUGUAAAGCCCUUUUGUUGGGAAAGAAAAGCAGCAGGUUAAUACCCCGCUGUUCUGACGGUACCCAAAGAAUAAGCACCGGCUAACUUCGUG